CCGAGGCCAAUAGGAACUGAGGACUCAACACAUCACAGGUCUUUGCUCCUCUAUUUUUCCACAGAGAAGCACUGGCAACAGCUGUACACAUUUUCCAUACACCACAUUCAUCCACUGUGCCUCAAGCCUGACCUGGAGGAUCCAAUUUCGGGGUAUAUGACAGUAAUUCAGUUUCUGUGGCCUAUUCAGUUCUUGGUCUGU
This 201-nucleotide small RNA is filed under the name Chrysemys picta bellii (western painted turtle). RNAcentral describes it as "TUC338 (ENSCPBG00000010166.1)". The record is from RNAcentral. Lineage: Eukaryota; Metazoa; Chordata; Testudines; Emydidae.